Long non-coding RNA from Galeopterus variegatus (Sunda flying lemur), 466 nucleotides. RefSeq lists it as uncharacterized. The transcript has 2 exons. NCBI's taxonomy places the organism in Eukaryota, Metazoa, Chordata, Mammalia, Dermoptera, Cynocephalidae. The record is from RefSeq and is a predicted model, not a curated record.
UGGACUCCCAAUUAUUUUUGGACAAAAUCCAUUUCAUGUUCCCGAGUUGCCGGUUUCACGUCCCUCUGGAACAUUCAGUGGCAGCCUUAACGAGGCAAAAAUAAAGAAAAUAUAAAGGGAAAAAAGCGAAGCACUGUACACCACAGCCAGCACACUGAUAACCAGAAAAACCAAGAUACUUGGCCUUCAUCUGGGGUCCAGAGCCUGGGAGGAAAGUUGCCCAGGUAUAAGCCAAGUGCUUGAUGCCUCUAAGAGACCCCUUCUAUGGGUAACAAAUGUCUGUGCCAGGCAGAGUUGUUUAUACCAGAGUCUAGAAAAAUAAAAUGUAAAACACACACAUACACUCACAGAGAAAUGUCACUUUCACCAUCUUAAAAAUGAAAGGAAUAUUGUGUAAACCAAAAAUUGCUUUAUUAAAACCUUGGAACACAAAUGAAUCCAAGUAAACUAUAACAUUCAAGUUUAA